Molecule: long non-coding RNA, 553 nt
Filed under: Glycine max (soybean)
Lineage: Eukaryota; Viridiplantae; Streptophyta; Magnoliopsida; Fabales; Fabaceae
Description: long non-coding RNA (GMAX_LNC000229)
Source: RNAcentral
CACUGUGCUCUCUGCUAACGUUGGCCUUAUCUUUGGCCACAACACAUGCAGCAAACUUCGAGAUCGUCAACAAUUGCCCCUACACGGUGUGGGCCGCGGCGAGUCCGGGUGGAGGCCGGCGUCUGGACCGUGGCCAAACGUGGAACCUCUGGGUGAACCCGGGCACUGCCAUGGCCCGUAUAUGGGGCCGCACCGGGUGCAACUUUGAUGGCAGCGGCCGCGGCCGCUGCCAAACGGGAGACUGCACGGGCGGCCUCAAUUGCCAAGGCUGGGGGGUCCCUCCCAACACACUUGCGGAAUUCGCGUUGAACCAAUUUGGCAACCAGGAUUUCUACGACAUCUCUUUGGUGGACGGGUUCAACAUUCCGAUGGACUUCUACCCUCUAAACGGUGGGUGUCACAAAAUCAGUUGCAGCGCUGAUAUCAAUGGGCAGUGCCCGGGGCCAUUAAGGGCACCUGGGGGAUGCAACAACCCCUGCACUGUGUUUAAGACGAAUGAGUAUUGCUGCACCAAUGGGCAAGGAAGCUGUGGGCCCACAAACUACUCAAGGUU